This 914-nucleotide ribosomal RNA is filed under the name uncultured bacterium. RNAcentral's name for it is "bacterial SSU rRNA". It matches the Rfam family "Bacterial small subunit ribosomal RNA", at positions 8 to 917 of the family's 1533-position model. The record is from RNAcentral.
AGAGUUUGAUCCUGGCUCAGGAUGAACGCUAGCGACAGGCUUAACACAUGCAAGUCGAGGGGCAGCGAGGGAGUGGCAACACUUCUGUCGGCGACCGGCGCACGGGUGAGUAACGCGUAUGCAACCUGCCCUUCACAGGGGGAUAACCGGGAGAAAUUCCGACUAAUACCGCAUACGUCCUCCGGGGGCAUCCCCUGGGGAUGAAAGAUUUAUCGGUGAAGGAUGGGCAUGCGUGAUAUUAGGUAGUUGGCGGGGCAACGGCCCACCAAGCCCACGAUAUCUAGGGGUUCUGAGAGGAAGGUCCCCCACAUUGGUACUGAGACACGGACCAAACUCCUACGGGAGGCAGCAGUGAGGAAUAUUGGUCAAUGGACGAGAGUCUGAACCAGCCAAGUCGCGUGAAGGAAGACGGAUCUAUGGUUUGUAAACUUCUUUAGUGCGGGAACAAAGCGGCGUCGUGACGCCGGAUGAGUGUACCGCAAGAAUAAGCAUCGGCUAACUCCGUGCCAGCAGCCGCGGUAAUACGGAGGAUGCGAGCGUUAUCCGGAUUUAUUGGGUUUAAAGGGAGCGCAGGCUGCGAGGCAAGUCAGCGGUCAAAUGUCGGGGCUCAACCCCGGCCUGCCGUUGAAACUGUCCUGCUAGAGUUCGAGUGAGGUAUGCGGAAUGCGUUGUGUAGCGGUGAAAUGCAUAGAUAUGACGCAGAACUCCGAUUGCGAAGGCAGCAUACCAACUCGCGACUGACGCUGAGGCUCGAAAGCGUGGGUAUCGAACAGGAUUAGAUACCCUGGUAGUCCACGCAGUAAACGAUGAAUACUAACUGUUCGGAGGGCGACCUCUGAGUGGUAAAGCGAAAGUGUUAAGUACUCCACCUGGGGAGUACGCCGGCAACGGUGAAACUCAAAUGAAUUGACGGA